Molecule: long non-coding RNA, 488 nt
Filed under: Numida meleagris (helmeted guineafowl)
Lineage: Eukaryota; Metazoa; Chordata; Aves; Galliformes; Numididae
Description: lncRNA (ENSNMEG00000007692.1)
Source: RNAcentral
AUGGCUGACAAUAUUGACGUGUGGCCUGCUAGAUUCCUGCUGCAGGGAAUACUGGGACAAAACUAAUAAUGCUGGCAUUGGUGGAAUAGCGAGCAGCUUUCAAGACCCAGAUCUGAGAACCUGCAGCAAAUGGAACAGUGUCCCAGAGUUCAUUAAAGAGGUUGUGAGGCCCCAGAGGCUGUGCUACAGCUUUGUGACUUCAUUUGGAAGCUUUGUGAAACUGAAUGGUCGUCUUGGAUGACACCCAGAUUGCUAGGAAAAUAUCCAAGUGCAAUUGCAGGCACAAACCUUCAGGCUUACAGAGUCCCCUUGAGCAUCACUUCUGGGAACAGCAAAUCAGUAUGCCAGAUUGCCCCUCUCCCACAUCUCCAAAAGCACUGCCCAGCUCAAGGAAUGAAGGUAGCAGCCUUUCAAGCAUUAGAAGCCAUGGCACAAGCCCAUCAAAAUAUCUGAGCAGUUUGAGUAUCGUACAUCAAGAUUUGCAGUAG